This is a long non-coding RNA of Acromyrmex echinatior (Panamanian leafcutter ant), 1049 nucleotides long. RefSeq lists it as uncharacterized. Lineage: Eukaryota; Metazoa; Arthropoda; Insecta; Hymenoptera; Formicidae. The record is from RefSeq and is a predicted model, not a curated record.
GUCGGACACGAAGCUCUUUGCUCGACUUUCGAAUUCUCCCCACUCUCCAUCCCUGAAUUCACCACCUUGCCGCGUCCUGACUGUUCCAUCCCUACGAUGGCGACGCCCAGCGUCGAUUCGUGCGCAAUUUCAUCCCUAGCUUGGAGAUUCGUUCUCCUAUGGACGCCUGUACGUUUAUCGAAUGGGAAUCGUUUUGUGAUUAAUAGUGAAUCGACAUAGAUUUGUGCUUUAUUAAGGAUACUUUUAUGAGCAGUAUUGUCUCCUACAAAAGCGUGUAACAUUUGAAGCGAGCAUGUGGGCACACGAGAAUAAGCCGGCUGUGAAACCAAUCAAGGACUUACGGCGUCCACAUUCCACAUCUAACACCUUCCUAUCUCUAAACAUGAUCGCUUAUAAAAUGGUGCUGAAGGGAGAAGGAGGGUGAAGGGGAGGAAAUACGAGGGGAAAAGAAUGGAGUUAUGGAGCGACUAGGGAAGCGAAGGGGAAGAGAAAGAUGCCGGCUGGCAAGCAGAUGGUUGCCCCGUUUAUUGGUUUAUUCGUCGGUUCAGCCAUGACGUUCCGUCCGGCCAUGAAACAAGCCGGAGAUUCUCCUUGUGUUAGAGAAUAUCAAGCAACGAGGCUACAACUGCUCUUCCUAUUAAAGUGCAUCUGUGAGCUACUUACUCGCGUAAUUUUUCACAGACACUUUGCAUCAUUCUUAUCAUGAUGAAUUAUAUAUCAAUAAGAAGAAAAGGUCUAUAAAUUUCCAAUGUAUAUAUGAUAUUCAGUAAUGGCGUCCUAAGGGCGGACGAAAUGCUCGGGUCGAUAGAAGGUUGCUUGCGAAACUCAAAUACGCUUUCGUCUUAUUGCUGAUGAUCAUCCCCACUUACAAUGGGCUUAUCUAUGAUAUAUCUUCAGGAAUGUAAUCAACAUGAUUCGAAAUUGAUUAGAUCGUAAAUGUUUGCAUGCGAAUAACCAGCGUAUACGACAUGACCAAGUAACCUGGAAAUGAAAGGUACAUCGACACACGUAUAGGAAUAAAAGAAGCUAUACCGCUAAGAAGACGAAGA